CAAAGCAAGCAGAAGCGCCCGCUUCUCACCUGAUUGACGCUAUGUGUAGUUGCCAGGUAUGAUUGGGAUUCAUGAAUGUGAAUGAUCAAAGUGUGGGCGUGUUGCGUCUACACUUUUUUUUCUGC
Molecule: non-coding RNA, 125 nt
Organism: Bacillus sp. TS-2
Lineage: Bacteria; Bacillati; Bacillota; Bacilli; Caryophanales; Bacillaceae
Source: Rfam